GAGGUGAAUUUUGUCCAGGAUUCAAAUGAAGAAUUGCAUUCUCUGUAUGAAAACUUGCUACUGAAAUGCCCUUGAAGAAGGCACUUAGCCUCCUGACUAAGCUGCUUUGUGGCCGCCAAUCGCAGUUUGUGUAUAAAUGUUUGAUGCAUUUACAGGAAAAGCACAAUGUUCAAAAACAAUGCAUUAUAUACGCCCUGCCUCAUUGAAAUUAUGUGCGGGUGCUGCUCAUUUGCUCUG
Long non-coding RNA from Salarias fasciatus (jewelled blenny), 237 nucleotides. RefSeq lists it as uncharacterized. Lineage: Eukaryota; Metazoa; Chordata; Actinopteri; Blenniiformes; Blenniidae. The record is from RefSeq and is a predicted model, not a curated record. The transcript has 3 exons.